CUUUUACAGUGACUUUACAUUUAAUCCAUUGGAAGUAUGCUGAUUGAUACUUAAGUCUGGGAUAACAUGAUUGUUUUAAUAGUUGUAAUUGGCUUUGAACUCAGCUUUCAGUAAGUGGGAGUACUCUUAUUUUGUGACUAUUGUCUUCUGUUUUUAUGUUAGUUGUUUUUUGUGCUUUGGAAUGUUUUAUCAAGUUAAGCCAUUUAGAACUUAUUUCUACUGUUUGUUUUUUUAUGUUAUUCUAUUGCACUGCUGUACGUCUCAGGUUAUGGGAGGGUUGAUAGCUCACAAACAUCAGCUUUUUAAUAUAGUUGUUGGCAUAGUUUAAUGUCUGUCAUAAUUGUUUUUCUUAAUUUUUUUCAUUAUAAUUUAGUGCUUUAGUUUUCUUUUUUUUAAUUGUUUCAAUUUUUUUCUUGUCUGGGCCUGUUACGGGUGACUAUGAGUUAUGUUGUUUUCCCCUCAAUGUUAAAAGCUGUCCCUUAUAUCCAUAUCAUUUGAACUUUGAGGUAUAGUUGUCUUAUUGACAAUCAUACAGCAUAUCCUAAUCUUUAUAUUGGUAGUCAAAUAGUUUGCCUGUAUAGACCAAAUAUCAUAACAGUAAAACAAUCAGUAAAAAACUAUUCAUUCAAGUACCAUCUAUACAUGAAGUUCUAUUUUAUAAUUAAC
RNAcentral lists this long non-coding RNA (666 nucleotides) under Mytilus galloprovincialis (Mediterranean mussel). Lineage: Eukaryota; Metazoa; Mollusca; Bivalvia; Mytilida; Mytilidae. The record is from RNAcentral.